AGAAGAGGGGGAUAACGCAUCGAAAGAUGUGCUAAUACCGCAUAUACUCUAAGGAGGAAAGCAGGGGAUCGAAAGACCUUGCGCUUUUGGAGCGGCCGAUGUCUGAUUAGCUAGUUGGUGGGGUAAUGGCCUACCAAGGCGACGAUCAGUAGUUGGUCUGAGAGGACGACCAGCCACACUGGGACUGAGACACGACCCAGACUCCUACGGGAGGCAGCAGUGGGGAAUUUUGGACAAUGGGCGCGAGCCUGAUCCAGCAAUGCCGCGUGAGUGAAGAAGGCCUUCGGGUUGUAUAGCUCUUUCAGUCGAGAAGAAAAGGCUGCAGUGAAUAACUGUAGUUUAUGACGGUAUCGACAGAAGAAGCACCGGCUAACUACGUGCCAGCAGCCGCGGUAAUACGUAGGGUGCGAGCGUUAAUCGGAAUUACUGGGCGUAAAGGGUGCGCAGGCGGUUUUUGUAAGUCAGAUGUGAAAUCCCCCGUGCUUAACCUGGGAAUUGCGUUUGAAACUACAAGACUAGAGUGUGGCAGAGGGAGGUGGAUUUCCAUGUGUAGCAGUGAAAUGCGUAGAGAUAUGAAAGAACAUCGAUGGCGAAGCCAGCCCUCCUGGGUUAACACUGACGCUCAUGCAC
This 630-nucleotide ribosomal RNA is filed under the name uncultured bacterium. RNAcentral's name for it is "bacterial SSU rRNA". It matches the Rfam family "Bacterial small subunit ribosomal RNA", at positions 132 to 754 of the family's 1533-position model. The record is from RNAcentral.